Capra hircus (goat) is the source of this 669-nucleotide long non-coding RNA. RefSeq lists it as uncharacterized. NCBI's taxonomy places the organism in Eukaryota, Metazoa, Chordata, Mammalia, Artiodactyla, Bovidae. The transcript is spliced from 2 exons. The record is from RefSeq and is a predicted model, not a curated record.
ACAAGAACUUAUGUUCACGCAAGAUCACAUUCUAUAGUUGCAGGUGGACCUGAGUUUUGAGAGACAAGGCUGUUCACCCCAGGCCAUUGGGUCAAGUUGUUUUUUAAGUCCUUGUGGCAUGUAGGAUCUUAGUUUCCCUGACCAGGGACGGAACCUGCACCUCCUGCAUCGAGAGGUGGAGCCUCUGGACCACCAGGGAAGAGACUGGACCACCAGGGAGACCCCCACUGGGUCAAGUUUCUGAGACAGCUGUUUAAGGACCAAAACAUUCCUGUUUGGGGUAAUUCCCAGGAUUCUAUAAAACCUAGGUGGAGGGGAUCAGAGAUGCAAGUACUGACAGUUGUUUGGAAUCAACGAGAUGAAAGCUCUUGUCAGAGGCCUGGGGAAUCAGGAAGUCUACUGACAAUCAUGAGUCCUUUACAUGAAGAUUGAGAAAUGGACGUUUCACAAAACCUGGCAAAGAGGAGACGAUCGCUUUUGGGAACACAGAGAGCCAGGGUGGUUAAAUGAAGAUUAAAACUUAGGGGCUCUGACUCCAUUCUGGCCAGCAUGUAUCAUAGCAUCACAUACGGCCACGUGUCUCUCCUUGCCCCUGAACUUUGACAGUAAAUAUUUGACUGAUUUGACUGGUGAGGAGGACCUGAACAGUAAAUAUUUUACAAGGGGAAA